This is a long non-coding RNA of Ochotona curzoniae (black-lipped pika), 788 nucleotides long. RefSeq lists it as uncharacterized. The transcript has 3 exons. Lineage: Eukaryota; Metazoa; Chordata; Mammalia; Lagomorpha; Ochotonidae. The record is from RefSeq and is a predicted model, not a curated record.
AUUUUGAAACUCAAACUAGAUUAGUGCUAGUAGAAAUGUAAUGUGAGGCACAUGUGGAAUUUUAAAUCAUGUAGUUGUUACACUUAAAAAAAUCUAUGAUUUUGAUAAUUUAUUUUGUUAAAUUUAGUUUCCCCCAAAAUGUUAUCAUUUCCACAUGUAAUCAGUGUUAAAAUACUGAAAUACUUUGUUUCUUUAAAGAUAAGUGUUAAGUCCAGAGUAUAUUUUAGACUGUGCAUAUCUCCAUGCAGACUGACUACAUAUCAAGGAUUCAGAAACCACAUGUGGCAAGUUGCCACCAAACUGACAAGUGUAGUUCUAGACAGUAACAGCAGCUUAUUGUUGUUAAAUGUACAGGUAGGUUUGUUCAAUAGGAUAGUAUAACAUUUUAUAAUACCCAGGCCAUAUUCAAGAAGAAAAUAGAAAUGCCAACUCUUCAGACUUAAGAAUAAGGCAUAAUGAAGCACAUAUGAUGAAAAGAUACCAAAAAAAGUAACUAAAGUAAUGAAAAUUCAAUUUGUAGCUUUCUUUCCAGCUAAGGUGGGGAAGAUAACAUUGAAAACUCGACCAAUUCAGCAGAAAACAAGAAAACUUUAGAAAGAUUUUUUUUUAAGUAAAGGAAAGGAUGAUACAUAGGAAAUAAAUAGUAGAAUUUCAAAUAUAUGAGUAUUUCACAAUAAAUAUAGAUGGAUUAAUCUUUUUUAUUAAGCUAAUUUGUUGAAAGGCACAGAGAGAGACCUUUCAUCUGCUUGGUCACUCCCCAGAUGACUAAGCCAGAGCUGGAAUAAGCC